AACUUCUACAGAACCAAAUAUGACACAAUACAUACCAAUUAAUUUCAAAACAGAUUUACGAACAAAGAUAAACAUAGAUCCAUAUAAUCCAGAUUUAAAGAUUCAUUCACUAAUCUGGUUCUAGAACAUUUUUUCUAUACAAGGCGUUGUUCUUCAGUUUAGCCAAAGUAAUUUAUAUCUUAUCGCUUAAGUAAUAAAGCUGAGAUUAGUGCAACAAGCAAUCUUAUCUAUUACUCAUAUUUGGGUCUGUCCUGAUAUUGUUUUAAUAUAAAUACGCGAAAUUAUAUUUCGAAAUCACAGUUUGACAGCUUUAUACGCCAGCAAUCGUUUUGAGAGACAUCCAGUAAAUUAAAUUCUGAGCAAAAUGAAAUACAUGCUCAUCAUCGCAUCCGUUGUUGCUUUGGCUGCAGCCAGCCCCACCCGUGGCCUAGUGGAAGUCGGGCCUGGCGGUCCCGCGCCAGUCCUUCCAGAGCCCAUCGCAGUCGGACCAGCCAUCUUAGACUUCGAACCAGUAGAUAUUGGACCUGCCCCCGUAGUCCCGGAACCUAUCGUACCUGUGCCAACACCUGUGUUCCCUGUAGAAGACCUGCCAAAUCCAGCACCCGCUAAUCCUAUUGUUCAAAUCAUUUUGAACAUUAAUGGACAGGUAUCAGUGCCUGGUAUUGUGGUCCCCAAACCUCCAAUUGGUGUGCUACCUACACCUGUGCAGGUUGUUGAUGUCGCUCCGGAACCUGUAGAUAUUGCACCUGUUCUGGUACCUGAACCUAUUCAAAUAGGUACACCUGUUUUGCCUAUUCCUGCUCAAGUGAUGCCAGAUGAAUUAAAUUAAGAUGAAGGAGGCGUUAGUGUUAAGAUUUGUGAUAAGAAAAUUAUUGUGAUAUUUUUUAAUAAAGUUUUUUUUUAAUAAUUA
This is an RNA transcript of Helicoverpa armigera (cotton bollworm), 910 nucleotides long. RefSeq lists it as uncharacterized. NCBI's taxonomy places the organism in Eukaryota, Metazoa, Arthropoda, Insecta, Lepidoptera, Noctuidae. The transcript is spliced from 2 exons. The record is from RefSeq and is a predicted model, not a curated record.